GACGAACGCUGGCGGCGUGCUUAACACAUGCAAGUCGAACGGAAAGGCCCCUUUGGGGGUCCUCGAGUGGCGAACGGGUGAGUAACACGUGAGUAACCUGCCCUUGACUUCGGGAUAACUUCAGGAAACUGGGGCUAAUACCGGAUAGGAAUCCUUGCUGCAUGGUGGGGGUUGGAAAGCUUCGGCGGUUUUGGAUGGACUCGCGGCUUAUCAGCUUGUUGGUGGGGUAGUGGCUUACCAAGGCUUUGACGGGUAGCCGGCCUGAGAGGGCGACCGGUCACAUUGGGACUGAGAUACGGCCCAGACUCCUACGGGAGGCAGCAGUGGGGAAUAUUGCACAAUGGGCGGAAGCCUGAUGCAGCAACGCCGCGUGCGGGAGGACGGCCUUCGGGUUGUAAACCGCUUUCAGCAGGGGCGAAGCUUGUGGUGACGGUACCUGCAGAAGAAGCACCGGCUAACUACGUG
RNAcentral lists this ribosomal RNA (465 nucleotides) under uncultured bacterium. RNAcentral describes it as "partial 16S ribosomal RNA". It matches the Rfam family "Bacterial small subunit ribosomal RNA", at positions 28 to 507 of the family's 1533-position model. The record is from RNAcentral.